This is a long non-coding RNA of Pelobates fuscus (common spadefoot toad), 1079 nucleotides long. RefSeq lists it as uncharacterized. The record is from RefSeq and is a predicted model, not a curated record. The transcript is spliced from 2 exons. NCBI's taxonomy places the organism in Eukaryota, Metazoa, Chordata, Amphibia, Anura, Pelobatidae.
UUUCAAACCACACCAUUGAGAUAUUGCUUUCUGUGUCUAGGGCAAAGAAAAGAUUGUCACCAUUCUUAGCAAAUUACUAUUACUAUAGUGCUCACUAUGUCACCGUGGGUUCAUGGGUGCAAUUCAUGCCAUGCACUUAUAAACUGUCCAGUGCCGUACUAUAGCCUUUUAGUAUUCAUAUGUAAAGCACUUUUGUGCAACUUGAAAUGUUUAAGGGCUUUCUCAAUAUUUGUACAUGUUUCUUUAUAUAGCUAGUGAGAUGGGAAGGCUCUGAUUAAAAUGCUGAAAUACUGUUGUCAAAUACUUCUAUUUAAUUUUCUUUUGUGUGUAAUAGUUUGAUUAUUUUGUUUGUUUUUCAUGUUAUUGGUCCCACGAGGUGUUUAUUCACCUAUCAGUAAUUAGUGGCGAGAAAAGAAAAUUUUAACUUUGGAUCUCUUGCUUUACAAAGUAGGGGAUUUUGAAACUUGCCUUUUAGGCCUACAGUUUGCAAGCUCGAACUCAGCCUUGUUUGCUAUGUAGUGAAUAAACCUCUAAGCAAUCUGUAUGACUAAAAGCUUCCUAUUUAAUGAUACUAUCCCUUUGCUCUUGUCCAGUAACACAUUACAUAUGCAUGUGCUGCCUAUAUAUCACAGGACCUGUCAGCUGACCUUUUCAGCCUUGCAUAGAUAAUGACUUUUAUCUUGAAAGUCUCAUAUGGUUAAGAGGACACAUCCAAAUAUUUUCUUCUACAAAGGAACCAUUUUGCAGCAACAUUUCAAGAAAAACCUACAUUACCGUCAGAGUUCCUUAGUAGAAAUUGGAGUCUACGAGUGAAAACCGCUAUUCUGUGUCUGAUAAAUCUUCUUGCUCGCCCCCUUGCCUUCAUCUCAGAAUAGGAAGUGAUAUUUCUGACAGCCUUCAAAAGCCAAAAUGUGAAGCCAGGGUGAAUAUUUGAAAUCUGAUUUUAUUUAUUUUUUUCCCCUGGUCUACUUCCUUGAAAUAUACUUUUAAGAAUGUAUAUUUACAAAUACACUACCUUUGUGCCAUCCCCCAACCUUCAGAGAAAAAAAUGAAAAUGCAGUAAAAUGUCUCAAAAAAUA